Molecule: ribosomal RNA, 471 nt
Filed under: uncultured bacterium
Lineage: Bacteria
Description: partial 16S ribosomal RNA
Rfam family: Bacterial small subunit ribosomal RNA
Source: RNAcentral
ACGAACGCUGGCGGCGUGCUUAACACAUGCAAGUCGAGCGGAAAGGCCCUUCGGGGUCCUCGAGCGGCGAACGGGUGAGUAACACGUGAGUAAUCUGCCCUUGGCUUUGGGAUAACUACCGGAAACGGUGGCUAAUACCGGAUACGACAACCGUCUGCAUGGGCUGGUUGUGGAAAGUUUUUUCGGCCAGGGAUGUGCUCGCGGCCUAUCAGCUUGUUGGUGGGGUAAUGGCCUACCAAGGCUUCGACGGGUAGCCGGCCUGAGAGGGUGACCGGCCACACUGGGACUGAGACACGGCCCAGACUCCUACGGGAGGCAGCAGUGGGGAAUAUUGGACAAUGGGCGGAAGCCUGAUCCAGCAACGCCGCGUGAGGGAUGACGGCCUUCGGGUUGUAAACCUCUUUCAGUACCGACGAAGCGCCGAUGAUGGUGGUGACGGUAGGUACAGAAGAAGCACCGGCCAACUACGUG